RNAcentral lists this ribosomal RNA (460 nucleotides) under uncultured bacterium. RNAcentral's name for it is "partial 16S ribosomal RNA". It matches the Rfam family "Bacterial small subunit ribosomal RNA", at positions 338 to 795 of the family's 1533-position model. The record is from RNAcentral.
CCUACGGGAGACAGCAGUGAGGAAUAUUGGUCAAUGGACGAGAGUCUGAACCAGCCAAGUAGCGUGAAGGAUGACUGCCCUAUGGGUUGUAAACUUCUUUUAUAUGGGAAUAAAAUGUUCCACGUGUGGGCUUUUGUAUGUACCAUAUGAAUAAGGAUCGGCUAACGCCGUGCCAGCAGCCGCGGUAAUACGGAGGAUCCGAGCGUUAUCCGGAUUUAUUGGGUUUAAAGGGAGCGUAGGUGGAUUGUUAAGUCAGUUGUGAAAGUUUGCGGCUCAACCGUAAAAUUGCAGUUGAAACUGGCAGUCUUGAGUACAGUAGAGGUGGGCGGAAUGCGUGGUGUAGCGGUGAAAUGCUUAGAUAUCACGAAGAACUCCGAUUGCGAAGGCAGCUCACUGGACUGCAACUGACACUGAGGCUCGAAAGUGUGGGUAUCAAACAGGAUUAGAUACCCCUGUAGUC